RNAcentral lists this long non-coding RNA (2374 nucleotides) under Pan troglodytes (chimpanzee). RNAcentral's name for it is "lncRNA (ENSPTRG00000054634.1)". Lineage: Eukaryota; Metazoa; Chordata; Mammalia; Primates; Hominidae. The record is from RNAcentral.
GCAGGAAGACAGAGGUGCCUGCGUGGCCGAGGCCUGGAAGGUCUGCACCAUGGUGCACAGAGGCCCCGGAGCUGGGUGAGGCCAGAAAGCUGCUCUGGGGUCAGCGGGGAAUGUGCCUGCUGAAUCUGCAAGCACCUGAGCUACGUCUUCACAAAUGGCCUCAGACCUAGAGUGCAGGGAGAUCCCCUGGCUUUUCUGAAGUGGUGGCCGGUGGUCUCCCGGGGAGCAGAACCUGGGCUGCUUACUUCCCUUACCCAGUGAGGGCCCGCGGGGAGCUCUUAAGUUGGGCAUCAUGGGUCUGCGUGAUGUGGCUGCUGUGCCCACAUCAGAGGGUUUUUGUUUCUUUUCCAAAGUCAAGCUGCACUAAUCUAGACCAGGGAUCCCCACCCCUGGGCUGUGGACCGGUCCCCAUGGGUGGCCUGUUAGGAACUGGACCGCACAGCAGGAGGUGGAACAGUUUAAUCCUGAAACCAUCCCCCCGUCUGUGGAAAAACUGCCUUCCACCAAACCAGUCCCUGGUGCCAAAAACGCUGGGAACCGCUAAUCUAGACAGUUCUCUGCUAAGGAAGCACGUGGUUGAGAAGCAUCAGAAUCGUUCCCACGGACCAUGCUCCGGAGUCUCAGCAGGCUCCUGCAGUGUGUUUAUCCGUGCAUCAUGAAGGACCCUCAUACGGCUGACGUGCCUUGGCUGAUGCGAGUAACACUGCAGCAAGCGUGGGAGUGCAGAUAGCUCUUGGAAAUACCCAUUUCCUUCAGAUGCAUACUCAGAGGUAGGAUUGCUGGAUUGUUUGGUCAUUUUGAUUUUUAAAAUUAAAAAGAAUUUUAAUUCUCAUAUUGUUUUGAGUAAAAUUAAAUUAUAACUUGUAAAGCAACUCCAUGUUUUUUAUAAUUUUUUAAAAAAAUAAUUGCUCUACCAAUUGACUGUCCCAACAACAACGUACAGGGGUAUUUUUUUUCCUCCGCAUCCUCACCACUUGUUACCUUUUGUCUUUUUAAUAAUAGCAAUCCUAAGACAUGUGAAGUGAUACCUCACUGUGAUUUUGAUUGGCAUUUUCCAGAUGAUUAGUCUAUUCAGGCCCUUUACUUUUUUUUGUUGUUGUUGUUGUUUUUGAGAUGGAUUCUCACUCUGUUGCCCAGGCUGGAGUGCGAUGGCACGAUCUCGGCUCACUGCAACCUCCGCCUUCCGGGGAGGAGUGAUUAGCCACCACGCCCGGCUAACUUUUGUAUUUUAGUAGAGAUGAGGUUUCACCAUGUUGGCCAGGCUGGUCUCGACCCCCUGAUCUCAGGUGAUCCACUUUGCCCAGCCUCCCAAAGUGUUGGGAUUACAGGUGUGAGCCACCACGCCCAGCCCCUUUGCUCUUUUUAAAUAGGAUUAUUACUAUUACAAUAUUUGCUUUUGAGUUGUGGGUGUUCCUUAUAUAUUUUGGAUAUAAACUCCUUAUCACAGGUAUGGUAUAUAUGGUUUGAAAUAUUUUCUCCCAUUAUCAUGCCCCAAUAUCACUAAGUUACAUUUCACUGCUCCCUCUUGAACACCUGAAAAAAUUUCCUAUUUCCAUGUGUCUGUAUCCAGGUUAUUGUCACUUUUACCUGAAGACACAUUUAUAUAUGCUGAUAUUCCCCAAUAACUAAUAUAUUUUUACUCUUUUUUUUUUUUUUUUUUUUUGAGAUGGAGUCCUGCUCUGUUACCCAGGGUGGAGUGCAGUGGCAUGAUCUCAGCUCACUGCAACCUCUGCCUCCCAGGUUCAAGUGAUUCUCCUGCCUCAGCCUCCCAGGUUGCUGGGAUUACAGGCACAUGCCACCACCACUAGCAAAUUUUUUUGUAUUUUUAUUAGAGAUGCGGUUUCACCAUAUGGGUCAGGCUGGUCUUGAACUCCGGACCUCAUAUGAUCCACCCGCCUUGGUCUCCCAAAGUGCUGGGAUUAUAGGCAUAAGCCGCUGCACCCGGCCCUAACUAAUAUAUUUUAAAUAACUUUUUGCUCUUGGCACAUGGACUAAAACCACAUCACCAGGCUUUCAAUGACAUCCAAUGUCUGCCAUCUUAUUUCCACUCCAGCUCCGCCCCAGGCAUAGUUGCCUUUCUUUUUAUUGAAGCCUUCUCCUUGCCAAGUUAAUUAAAGAGAAUGUUUUCUUCAUCAAAUUAGAAAUUACAUCCUCAGAGAAGCUUUCCAGUAUUUGUAGUUCUUACAGACCACAUUUAUUACAAGUUUAUAGACUCCAAACUUCUCCACUGAACAGUUAAUAAAAAGGACACAGGCUUAUUGUAAAAUAAUUCAUUUAGUGCCUGCCAUUCUGAUUACACUAGAAAUUUAGUUCUCCUGCUCCGCGUUCUGUUAUGUGACUGUUCAAUGCAUUACUUAAAACUGCAAGAUUGAAU